RNAcentral lists this ribosomal RNA (460 nucleotides) under uncultured bacterium. RNAcentral describes it as "partial 16S ribosomal RNA". It matches the Rfam family "Bacterial small subunit ribosomal RNA", at positions 338 to 795 of the family's 1533-position model. The record is from RNAcentral.
CCUACGGGAGGCAGCAGUGAGGAAUAUUGGUCAAUGGGCGUAAGCCUGAACCAGCCAAGUAGCGUGCAGGAUGACUGCCCUACGGGUUGUAAACUUCUUUUAUACGGGAAUAAUGCGCGCUACGUGUAGCGUUUUGGAUGUACCGUAUGAAUAAGGAACGGCGAAAUCCGUGCCAACAGCCGCGGUAAUUCGGGGGGUCCGGGCGUUUUCCGGAUUUAAUUGGUUUAAAGGGAGCGGAGGGCGGAUGUCAAGUGCGAUGUGAAAGUUUCGGGCUCAACCCGGGCCUUGCAGGGGAUACUGGCGUGCUUGAGUGGGCGGGAAGCAGGCGGAAUUCGUGGUGUAGCGGUGAAAUGCUUAGAUAUGACGAAGAACCCCGAUUGCGAAGGCAGCUUACUGGAGCGGAACUGACGUUGAUGCUCGAAAGCGUGGGUAUCGAACAGGAUUAGAUACCCGUGUAGUC